This 497-nucleotide ribosomal RNA is filed under the name Exiguobacterium sp. RNAcentral's name for it is "bacterial SSU rRNA". It matches the Rfam family "Bacterial small subunit ribosomal RNA", at positions 88 to 573 of the family's 1533-position model. Lineage: Bacteria; Bacillati; Bacillota; Bacilli; Caryophanales. The record is from RNAcentral.
GGAAUGAGCGGCGGACGGGUGAGUAACACGUAAGGAACCUGCCUCAAGGAUUGGGAUAACUCCGAGAAAUCGGAGCUAAUACCGGAUAGUUCAACGGACCGCAUGGUCCGCUGAUGAAAGGCGCUUCGGCGUCACCUUGAGAUGGCCUUGCGGUGCAUUAGCUAGUUGGUGGGGUAAUGGCCCACCAAGGCGACGAUGCAUAGCCGACCUGAGAGGGUGAUCGGCCACACUGGGACUGAGACACGGCCCAGACUCCUACGGGAGGCAGCAGUAGGGAAUCUUCCACAAUGGACGAAAGUCUGAUGGAGCAACGCCGCGUGAGUGAUGAAGGUUUUCGGAUCGUAAAACUCUGUUGUAAGGGAAGAACACGUACGAGAGGUAAUGCUCGUACCUUGACGGUACCUUACGAGAAAGCCACGGCUAACUACGUGCCAGCAGCCGCGGUAAUACGUAGGUGGCAAGCGUUGUCCGGAAUUAUUGGGCGUAAAGCGCGCGCA